GCUACGGGUGGCAGCAGUGAGGAAUAUUGGUCAAUGGGCGCGAGCCUGAACCAGCCAAGUCGCGUGAGUGAAGAAGGUCCUAUGGAUUGUAAACCUCUUUUGUCUGGGAGCAAAAGACGCCAAGCGUGGCGUUCCGAGAGUACACGAAGAAAAAUCAUAGGCUAACUCCGUGCCAGAAGCCGCGGUAAUAAGGAUGAUGCGAGCGUUAUCCGGAUUUAUAGGGUUUAAAGGGUGCGCAGGCCGAAGAUCAAGUCAGAGGUAAAAUUGAGAGGCUCAACCUCUUCGAGCCGUUGAAACUGGUUUGCUUGAGUGAGCGAGAAGUAUGCGGAAUGCGUGGUGUAGCGGUGAAA
Molecule: ribosomal RNA, 350 nt
Filed under: uncultured bacterium
Lineage: Bacteria
Description: partial 16S ribosomal RNA
Rfam family: Bacterial small subunit ribosomal RNA
Source: RNAcentral